Molecule: ribosomal RNA, 301 nt
Filed under: uncultured bacterium
Lineage: Bacteria
Description: partial 16S ribosomal RNA
Rfam family: Bacterial small subunit ribosomal RNA
Source: RNAcentral
CAGCAGCCGCGGUAAUACGUAGGGUGCAAGCGUUAAUCGGAAUUACUGGGCGUAAAGCGUGCGCAGGCGGUUUUGUAAGACAGAGGUGAAAUCCCCGGGCUCAACCUGGGAACUGCCUUUGUGACUGCAAGGCUAGAGUACGGCAGAGGGGGAUGGAAUUCCGCGUGUAGCAGUGAAAUGCGUAGAUAUGCGGAGGAACACCGAUGGCGAAGGCAAUCCCCUGGGCCUGUACUGACGCUCAUGCACGAAAGCGUGGGGAGCAAACAGGAUUAGAUACCCGGGUAGUCCCUGUCUCUUAUAC